Molecule: long non-coding RNA, 1505 nt
Organism: Xiphophorus couchianus (Monterrey platyfish)
Lineage: Eukaryota; Metazoa; Chordata; Actinopteri; Cyprinodontiformes; Poeciliidae
Exons: 7
Source: RefSeq, a predicted model, not a curated record
CAGGCGGUUGCCACGGCAACGGGCGUGCUUAACGACAAAGAGAGAGAGUAAAACGAUGAUGAGAAGCUAAGCACUUCCAGCCGCUCUGCUUUCUUUGUUGAGGUCAUCCGUGAUGAUAGAUGGGCUGUGUACGCACUAACUAGACCGGGAUGUGCCACACAGAAAUUGCUAUCCCCUCAAAAAUCUCAUUGAGUAACCAGGUGUACAUCAGGACUGGAGCCGGUGGUCUAAACAGAGAUUGAUGACAGUUUGGAAGGCAGGAGAAAUCAGGCUUAAGAAAACAGCCGGAUCAGAUUCCAAUCGGAGGCUCAGUCUGGGGCUGGCCUUGCUGAAAAGGCCGAGCUCAUUCCAUUUCCAGCGAUGGGAGUGAUUGGGGAGAAGUGAGCCUGAAGAUUGCUGAAGUAAUUAACAUUCGCGGCUGGUUGGCAGAUCCAAUCGUCUUGUCUCGGAUGCAGGAGGAGCCGUUAAUUGGAGGUCAUUGUCUCAAGGUGACUCGGAACAUCUGGAGCUGUUCGCCACAAUAUACGAAGCAAUUUAGUUGCAGACAGGAGCUGUGAAGAGACCGGACUCCUGCCCUCUGGUGACUCCAAACAUUGUGGCUGACGACCCUGUCAAGGUUACAGCUCAUAGUUCAUCUGCAUACAAAGAAAGUCCUAGCAGGCAACACAAUUCAGUUGAUUCCUCUUGGAAUUAAUCGUGUCCGAAGAAAAACCAAAACCAAACAGAUUUAUGCACCUGAUGAAAAAGCUGAGUGUCCCUGGUGGAAAAUUAGGAAGUGAUGUGUGUCCAUGUCAGAACGUCAGUGAAUAAAUGAAUAAUGCGUUAGCUUCUUAGGAGGUCCUCACAGGCAUCUGAGUCUUCCUGACAUGAAUAUUAAACCUCCAUGCAGGUGCAUCCUGAGUUUUUUUCUCUCUCUAUUUUUACACAUUUUUGGAAAAUAUCCAGAGCAGAGCAAACUGACAGAGAAGGGGGAUGAUGGCAGAAGACAGCAAAGCACAGGAAAAAAUAUUUGUGAGAUACACUGCAGACGGAGACCACAUAGUGUGGAAUAUUGAUGGACAGACCCAAAAUACUGACAGAACAAGUUAAGGCUCAGACAGCAUCCAUAUUGACAGACGGCAGUAAUUGAUUAGUCAUUCACACCACUGGGCUUCCCAGUGAAAGGAAAAGGACAGAGGCUUUCACGACAAAAUCCUUUUGCUGGAUUUCAUCUCAGAGGAUUUCUAAAGACCAGACACGGUAUCAAUAUAUUGUUCCUGGAUCAUGAAAGCAGCCAGGUUGGCGGUGUAAGAAGCCAGGAAGAUGACAGCGAAGAAGGCCCAGACCAGGACCAUGAUUUUACUAGUGGUUCCUUUGGGGUUUUCAAUGGGGACGGAGUUGUUGAAGACGAUUCCCCACAGCAGCCACACUGAUUUCCCUAUCGUGAACGUCGGCCCACCCGGCUCUGAGGAAGGAAAUUGUGGAGAGUCAAUGUUUGAAUAAUAAAUCUGGAAUGUCCAUACAAA